GGUUGGAAGACCUGUAGGUAAGAACCAGCUUUGUGUGUUUAUUAGCCAGAGUGAAGAUAAUUGUUUCUACAGUCUCUGAAUUUGCUUUCCAAUUUUGGUUGAUGUGUCUAUGUUGAUCACAGAAGUAUAUCUUUCGAGGGAUAUUGGCAGUGAGAAAUAAAGUUGUAUAUUAAGUAGAGAAGCCCAUUUGAAGGGGGAGAAGUUAAUCCCAAGAGGACUUCCAAAUUUUCAAGUAACUUUCUCCCAGUGAAAAUUUUAGCAAAGGGAAGAAUUGCAUUAGGAGUCUUUAUUCGAACUCUGGGGCUUAUGCUGCUCAGCUUCAGCUUUCGAGGAAUCAAGAAGAUUGACUAUGUUGCCUUGGACUAAACUUCCUCUCAGCCUUUAUGAUUCUGCUAACUAGGCAAAUGACCCAGAGGGCAGCAUGUUGUGUGAAUCAAUUAACGUUGGAACACUUCUCACCAAGACAGGCUGCUGAGAGAUGACCCCUUCAAAUAUAUGUCAGAAGAAGAACAAGCUUUAAUUGAUG
Equus caballus (horse) is the source of this 526-nucleotide long non-coding RNA. RefSeq lists it as uncharacterized. NCBI's taxonomy places the organism in Eukaryota, Metazoa, Chordata, Mammalia, Perissodactyla, Equidae. The record is from RefSeq and is a predicted model, not a curated record.